This 292-nucleotide ribosomal RNA is filed under the name uncultured bacterium. Its description in RNAcentral is "partial 16S ribosomal RNA". It matches the Rfam family "Bacterial small subunit ribosomal RNA", at positions 505 to 796 of the family's 1533-position model. The record is from RNAcentral.
GUGCCAGCCGCCGCGGUAAUACAGAGGUCUCAAGCGUUGUUCGGAAUUAUUGGGCGUAAAGGGUGCGCAGGCGGCUUGGUCAGUUAGGUGUGAAAACUCGGAGCUCAACUCCGAAAUUGCAUUUAAUACUACUAGGCUAGAGUGCUGUAUAGGAAGCUGGAACUUACGGUGUAGCAGUGAAAUGCGUAGAUAUCGUAAUGAAGACCAGAGGCGAAAGCGAGCUUCUGAGCAGUUACUGACGCUCAUGCACGAAAGCCAAGGUAGCAAACGGGAUUAGAUACCCUCGUAGUCC